UUCAGGCUGCUGAGAAACUAGGUGAGACA
Molecule: non-coding RNA, 29 nt
Filed under: Cricetulus griseus (Chinese hamster)
Lineage: Eukaryota; Metazoa; Chordata; Mammalia; Rodentia; Cricetidae
Source: RNAcentral